UACGGAGGGGGCAAGCGUUGUCCGGAAUUAUUGGGCGUAAAGAGCUUGUAGGCGGUUUGUCGCGUCUGCUGUGAAAAUCCGGGGCUCAACCCCGGACUUGCAGUGGGUACGGGCAGACUAGAGUGUGGUAGGGGAGACUGGAAUUCCUGGUGUAGCGGUGAAAUGCGCAGAUAUCAGGAGGAACACCGAUGGCGAAGGCAGGUCUCUGGGCCACUACUGACGCUGAGAAGCGAAAGCAUGGGGAGCGAACAGG
This 253-nucleotide ribosomal RNA is filed under the name uncultured bacterium. Its description in RNAcentral is "partial 16S ribosomal RNA". It matches the Rfam family "Bacterial small subunit ribosomal RNA", at positions 524 to 776 of the family's 1533-position model. The record is from RNAcentral.